CACCUUUGUUGCUUUGGCGGGCCCGCCUCGGCCACCGGCUCCGGCUGGUGAGCGCCCGCCAGAGGACCCCAAACUCUGAAAUUUAGUGUCGUCUGAGUACUAUAUAAUAGUUAAAACUUUCAACAACGGAUCUCUUGGUUCUGGCAUCGAUGAAGAACGCAGCGAAAUGCGAUAAGUAAUGUGAAUUGCAGAAUUCAGUGAAUCAUCGAAUCUUUGAACGCACAUUGCGCCCCUUGGUAUUCCGGGGGGCAUGCCUGUUCGAGCGUCAUUACAACCCUCAAGCUCUGCUUGGUAUUGGGCGUCCCCGGCGACGGGGUGCCCUAAAAUCAGUGGCGGUGCCGUCUGGCUCUAAGCGUAGUAAAUCUCUCGCUCUGGAUGCCCGGUGGAUGCUCGCCAGAACCCCCCAUUUUUACAGGUUGACCU
RNAcentral lists this ribosomal RNA (423 nucleotides) under Phlyctema vagabunda. Its description in RNAcentral is "eukaryotic LSU rRNA". The stretch from base 115 to 268 matches the Rfam family "5.8S ribosomal RNA". Lineage: Eukaryota; Fungi; Ascomycota; Leotiomycetes; Helotiales; Dermateaceae. The record is from RNAcentral.